AAGGUACAUCUUCAAGAAUGAGAAGAAGGUUGGUAUUCAAGAGCUCGGCCCUCGCUUCACUCUCAAACUCCGCUCUCUCCAGAAAGGCACCUUUGACUCAAAGUUUGGGGAGUAUGAGUGGGUCCUUAAGCGCCAUGAGAUGGAUGCCUGCAGAAGGAAAUUCCAGAUUUAAGUGCAAAAUAACAUCCAGCGCUUUGGGUCAGGAAAGGACGGCCGUGUAUAUUAUCCAAUAAAUUACUACCAUUUGUGACAAAUGGACUUUAUAGUGGAUAUCCGGUUCUUUGUGGACAACCAUUUACUUUGAUGUGCAGCUUUGAUCACUGGAUUUAAUGAGAUCACAUCAUGCUAGAUUCACACUUGUCCUGAAAGGGACCUUUACCGUAUAAAGCUGUGUCUGCAUACCAAGUGUGGGACAGCUGCCUGUUGUAAAGACUUUCACACAUUGGCAGACAACCAGAGGAUAAAUGCAGCCCUCCACAUGGACACAACCUGAACAAUUUGACCUGUGUGUGAAACUCAUUAAUGGAUCCUUUAAAUGUAUCUCGAAACAUAAUGAAAUGUGACCCAAAUUAAAUUCAGAAAAUGUGAGCCUUUCCUGGUCACAACCUGUAGUGCAUGCAGACAUACUGUUACGCCCUGUGUAAAUAACACAAUGAGCAGUGAAUUAAGUGAAACGGUGUCUGGAAAUUGGUAGAUGGUUCCAUAGAGAUUUGAAAAUAAGAUACAUUGAACACAUUUGCUGCAACUUAAAAUGUGGAAAAUACAUUUAUUUAUUCUCAAAAAUCAGUUAUGGAACGUUUUACAAUUCAAAAAGGCACGAUUUGGGUUAGUUAUUUCCAAGCAAGAAGGUUAAGACUUGUAUUGUGCCAUAUAAGCACAUGGAAAUGUUUAUCACAGUUUACAAAGGCAAUCAUUUAAAAAAAAAAAAA
Molecule: long non-coding RNA, 929 nt
Organism: Notothenia coriiceps (black rockcod)
Lineage: Eukaryota; Metazoa; Chordata; Actinopteri; Perciformes; Nototheniidae
Exons: 2
Source: RefSeq, a predicted model, not a curated record